UUUCCGUAGGUGAACCUGCGGAAGGAUCAUUGUUGUAUAACCGAGGUGCGAGGGCUGUCGCUGACUCGAAAGGUCGUGCACGCCCGAGUGCCCUCACACACAUCCAUCUCACCCCUAUGUGCACCACCGCGUGGGUCCCCCUUUGGCUUGUUCGGAGGGGGGCUUACGUUUUCACACAAACUUUGUAUGCAGUGUAGAAUGUAUUUUUUGUUUUUGCGAUCACGCAAUCAAUACAACUUUCAACAACGGAUCUCUUGGCUCUC
This 263-nucleotide unclassified non-coding RNA is filed under the name plant metagenome. RNAcentral describes it as "partial contains small subunit ribosomal RNA, internal transcribed spacer 1, and 5.8S ribosomal RNA". The record is from RNAcentral.